This 442-nucleotide ribosomal RNA is filed under the name uncultured prokaryote. RNAcentral's name for it is "bacterial SSU rRNA". It matches the Rfam family "Bacterial small subunit ribosomal RNA", at positions 355 to 796 of the family's 1533-position model. The record is from RNAcentral.
UCGAGAAUCUUCGGCAAUGGACGAAAGUCUGACCGAGCGAUGCCGCGUGCGGGAUGAAGGCCUUCGGGUUGUAAACCGCUGUCAGUUGGGAGGAAGGCGCUGUGAAGAGCAGUGUUUGACCCAUCUUCAGAGGAAGUACGGGCUAAGUUCGUGCCAGCAGCCGCGGUAACACGAACCGUACGAACGUUAUUCGGAAUUAUUGGGCUUAAAGGGUGCGUAGGCGGCGUGGUUAGUCGGGUGUGAAAUCCCACAGCUCAACUGUGGAACUGCGCCCGAUACUGCCAUGCUUGAGGGAGACAGAGGUGAGCGGAACUGAUGGUGGAGCGGUGAAAUGCGUUGAUAUCAUCAGGAACACCGGUGGCGAAAGCGGCUCACUGGGUCUCUUCUGACGCUGAGGCACGAAAGCUAGGGUAGCGAACGGGAUUAGAUACCCCCGUAGUCC